UCCUCAAGCAAAAAGAGGAAGAUUGGCAACAGAUGUUAGCUCCGAGUAAAUCUUCCUCAGGGAAAAAAAAAGGUUUGGCCAAGAUAAAGUAUACAGGGUCAUAGACACAUAUACAAAAUUAUCCUUGGUAUAAGCUUGGGCACCUAUACCCUUUUAUCAGUUGAGUGAAUGUCCCCAGAGAGCCCCGUUUUCUUACAGCAGGGUUAAUUUUGAUGUAUCUGCUGCAGCAUGUCCCUUCACCUUUCCCAUGUUUAAGAUGCUCCUCUCUCCCCAGUUGGUGAUUCUUCAUAACGUUGGUGUCCAGUAACCCACUUGAGGACCUUUUCUUAAUCACCACUAGUUGUUAUAAAAGUUUCUGGAAGGGGGAUAAGGGCAAGCUGGAACUGAUGGCUAAGUAAAGUUAUAGCUGUAGAGUUCAAAUUCUCCAUCAUGCUUAGUUGGCGAUGAAAAGUAAAGAUUCUAAGCAAACUAAUUUUUUGACGGUCCAGUGUUGAUUUUCUUAUAACUCUUAAAAACUAUUUUUUUAACGUUUGUGUGGCUUCAGUACUAUUGAAAGUCAGCUCCCAGACCUUGGGAGCAAGUGUGGUAUCUGCAGAAGGAAUAUUUAACCUGAUGGUGGAUGCUGCCAGAAUCGGAGACGUGUGUAUCUCAGAACCCGUGAUUCCUCAGUUAAUUUGAGGUGGGAGGUGAAGGACUCGGAGCUGUUCGUGCUGCUGGAAUAGCGUGUUUACCCUCAGUCUUUAAUAAAAUAAAUGAAUGGAGGCCUGGGAGGACUGGGAAACACGCUUGAAGGAGGGAGUGCCCCUCACGUUGUAAGCCAAGGUAAACAGUUCUUGUAACUGAAAAGUAGACUUCCUGGAAGGUGAGAACCAGAGAAGUGGGUGUGAAGUGCAGCCAGCAAGUACCAUUUUCAGCUGUUGAGAUAGCUGAGUUACCUGAGUCCUGAAAAGAACCUGUCAGUUAUUUGGGGAAAAUCAGUGUCUUGAACGGGCCUUUGACUGGCCUGUCGUGCCUACAACUGCACCCAGAGACAGCUCUUGGGGAGGAAAGGUCACUUUUGUGCUAGAGAAAGCAAGCAGAUGGGGCUCUCUGAGGGGUAGAAAUGAAGUCGUCAGUGACCUAGGGCAGCCUUGCAGGGGGGCCAGGGCACUGGCAGAAUGCGGUGGGAAGGCGCCCCCGAGUCUGCAUGGGAUUUGGAGUAAUGGAAACAUAGACAUUUUCUUUUCUGUCUGUCCUUUUUUACAGUGGAAAACUGUCAUUACACUGGACAGCUGUGCACACAUUGCACAGUAUGUGAUGUGUGUAUAUGCUUAUGCACGCAUCCCCAUGUGCAAUGUGCACACGUGUAAAGAGAAUCCCUUACAGGGUCACGUUCUUGUCCUGAUCACCUCUUUAUGUCCAUUCUUCUGUGAUAGCAUUUUCUUCCAGUUGGAGCUGUUAGGGUCUGUUAAUUCCAAUGGGGAAAAAAAAUUCUGUCUCUAGCCAUCAUUAAUUAAUUUAUAUAAGUAAGUACAUGUAGAUUGUCUCCUAAGUGGCUUACCUGAAGCUGUGGGCACUUCACUCCUGAGUCCUCUCUUUUGCAGUUGAUAAGGUCCCCAUCAGGUUUGGAGUUGCUGAUGUCCUGCCCAUGCCAUGUGUCAAGAAAGGAGUCCAUCAGAAAGGACUGACACGCAUAUUCCCUGGAACUUUUCAUCCUCAAAGAUUCUUGGAGCUUAAGUGGGAAAGGGCCUUGCCUUGUAAAAACAGACCCAAGUCCCUUUAAUGGUCAGUCAGAAAGGGUUACCUAAAUUCCCUCUCUGUAGUUGGUUUCUUGAACAUCUUAUUUCCCGUAACUAGCUAUGUGUGCUAGGGCCAAAUAUUUGGUCCACUGCCUUCGUUUUAAGGAAAUUAUUGUAAAGGCGACAUAACUCUACUAAACACUUUUGGAAAUAGAGAAGAAAAACAAUGGUCCCAAACGCUCUUGUUCCAAACACAAGAACCAGUUUUGUGUCUUUGCACAUGUGUAUAUAAAUGUAUAUAUACCCUAUCUAGUCUUUCUCUUUAGACAUAUAUUUUUAUCAUACAUCUUGUAUCUUGCUUCUUUCCACUGCAAAUUAUAUCAAAUGUAUGUUCCUACAUAGUCUCCAUUAUUAUAAUUUAAGCUGAUUAAUUGAGAUGUACUCCAACUUUCAGCUUCAUUUCCUUUCAGGACUAUAUAAAAGGCAAGAAGGGGAAAAAAGUCAUUCCAGGUGAACCUAAGAGAAAAUUCUAUGUAGUCUUAAUGGAAUUUAUUUUUGUGCGUGCCAAGGCUCUCCAAGCAGAUGACUGAAAUUGGCUCAUCUCCCCUUACUAAGGAUCUGACCACUGACUGACUGUACAUCUGGUCCUUUGUGUCUAGGGCUUGUGGCAUGAGGACUGUGGCCCUUAAUUGUUUUGUCUUCUGUCCUUGAUACCACCAGGCCUGUGUUGACUCUAAGGACAAUGAAGCUCCGUAAGGUUAAGUAAUGAUUUGUAAACUUUGUGCAAAUAGCCAGCCCCCUGGGUAGGAGGGACAUUUCAAUUCUCUUGCUUUUUUUGGUACAUUAUUGGAUUGCAAAUGUUUAUUUAGUAUGAAAAAUGGAUAUAAUUAACUAAGUCCUAAAUAGGGACUAGAUAUUAACUUCAAGAUGAGUUUGCAGCCUUUGUGCUUUGCAUACAUAUGACAUAUGCUCUUGUUAUCAAGGAUUUUAUCUGAGAAUCUAAAAUGGUUUUCCACUUCCACCAUUUUAUAAAUGAAAACCAGAGGCCUAGAAGUUAUCCCACAAGGCACAUAUAUAAAAUUUGGAAAAACUUGGGUCAUUGUCAGAAUUAAGUUUGUUGAAAUUCUAUUAGGAAAACAGACUUUUUUUUCCUUGUGUUAUUAUUGGCUGAUGUAUUAAUAGUUUUUACAACGCAGAUACUGGUUUCAUAUUCAAAUGUAUAGAUAGCAUAUGUUGUAAUAUUUCAUAUUCAUUUCUCUAAUCUUUAAAAAUACAAAUUAGCUCAGGGCUGGUCUUCCUCAAGCCAAAAGAAAGAGGAAGAUUGACAGCAGGUGUUAACUCAGGACCAAUUGUCCUCAGCAAAAAAAAAAAUUCUCACUCAAAACCAAUUGCACAAACAGUAUGCAAAGUCAAAUCACUGGGCUUCAUAUAUAUUUCAUAUAAAUUUUAAGUGCCUUUUGAGUCAUCAAAGGAAGAUAGGAGCCGACCUGUGGCGUAGUGGUUAAGUUCAUGUGCUCCACGUUUGCAGCCCAGGAUUCACAGGUUCAGAUCCCAGACGAGGACCUAGCACCAAUUGUCAAGCCAUGCUGUGGUGGCAUCCCACAUAAAUAGAGGAAGAUUGGCACAGAUGUUAGCUCAGCAACAAUCUUCCUCAAAAGAAAAAAAAAAGAAAACCUUUGAUUACCUCUGAUAUUAAGUUACUGUUUCUGAAUUAUAAGUCUUUGAAAAUUUGUAAUUCAUGCGUGACGUAUACCAAUCAACUAUGCAAUCCAGAAAACACUGGAUGUUUACAUGGCUGCUUGUUAUGGAGAGAGUAGCCAUUUAGACGUCUUUAAGCCACAACGUGGAUUAAAGUGGUGUAUGCACACAAGUGAAAUUUAACAGAUACUUUUCAGAUCAGCAUAUGAACGUAAAAGAGCACACUUUGUCCUGAAAAAGUCAUUUGAAGGUGAACUCACAUCAAAUUUAAUAGUUUAACCAUGGAUGUUUUGAAAUUUUAGUUAUAUCAUAAAAUAAUAACAUUAAUUAAAGUCAGCAAGUGUGUAAAGUUUUUUAAAAAAUUAAUUAAACACAAAGCUUAGUAGAUACUUAUAUUCAACAACAAUAAGUGAAUAUUUGACACCCACCGCCAUGGCCAAAAUAUGUAGACUGAGAUUGUGUCUCGAGGAUGAAUGAAAAGGUGUGGGAGAGUUGGCCACUCUUAGGGAAAAGGUUUGUAAAGGGGGUGGGCACCUGGGAUCCCCUAAGCUUUCGCCCAAAAUACAGCCUAUAUCUCUUGUUGUAACCAGUUUAUGCAACUUUAUUUAAAGCUGGGAAUCAAUAGAUUGUCUCCAGUACUAACAGUUAAUCAUUAAUCAGAUCAUCUUUAUUAUCAACCAGAACUGCUUGUGUUUUCUUUUCAAAAGCUUCUUAACAAUGUGAUUGGAAAUGUUUGAAUCAAUAGGUAACGAAGUCGAUAUGUAUGUUCCUUGUCAUGUGGGAGAGAGUAAAGCCUGUGUUGGGGUGAAUGUUUCAGCCGGGUGUGAGUUCUGGUACAGUGUCUCUGGGCUGUGUUUCCUUGCUUCCAGGGUCCUGGAGCUUGGCCAACUCACAGGACGGGGAGGAGGAAAGGUUCGGUUUUGAGAGCCCCGGGUUUAUUUCUGGCUGUUGAGAUGUGAGACUGUGGGAGAAGGCAUAAAUAUAGUUGGAGGGAGGUUGUGGACUCGGAGGUUCUCGCCAGGGCUCAACGCUGGAUGGGUUUGUUUCGGGAUGGGUUUGUUUAUGGCUUCUUCACGCUGUUACCUCUCCGAGUUGGUGCUUCCGAGGGUCGACUCUCAGUAUCUGGAUCUCAUUUGGUGGGUAUAUCGGAAGUCUCCCCCAGUGCGCCAACCACGGCCGUUCUGUUCCUUUUCUUUCUGAAUUUGUAGUCAAAUAACUAACUUCCUCACCUGCAAAUAAUGAACACCAAGCGUCUGGAGAAAAGAUAGUUAUGUAAAUAGUAGAAGCAUAUAGCAUUUGGGGCUGCAUUUGUGGGAUGGGGUUUGCAGCUCAGUCUGUGCAUCACCGUCUCCACUGCUCUGAGAGUGAGCAAACGCAGCAGCCCCUGAGCCCCCUACCCCCCUGAGUCUUUUGCUUCUUUAUGGGUUGGUCACAGAUUUCCCCUGUGUGAGUUCUGAAUCCCUUUACCUUGCAUCCACCCAUGUUCAGGAAGUCCCCCAUCCAGCUACUGCCCUGGGUCAGCCUCCAGCCUUGCAGACGGGUGCUCUCUGCUGUUAGCAACUUGGGGGCUCUGCCCAGCCGACCUGACCAUGCCUCUCCUCAUCCCGAGGCACUUGCCUGCCUUCACCGGCGGCACUGACCUCACUCCAGCGCUGGCCCUGCCUCCUCAGCCCUGUUGCUUGCUCCCCAGACUGUGAAUCAACCUGGUCUUGGAGCAUUUUACCCACCUUUGUGGCCAGCGUGUGUUGCUUCCAUUUGUUAGGGAGUGUUAAGCAUGCAGUCUCAAGAAAAACUGCCCAGAGGAGAUGACUUCCUCAGGAGAAAUGUAGAUGAUAAGUUCCUUAAGGAGAAACCACGUUUUAUUACUGAGAGGCAAUGCUGUGUUCUAGUGGGACUUCUGGUUCUGAAGUCAGUUUGUAGUCUAGCCAGGUGACUUGCCUGGUGUGUUACCCUAGCCAGGCGACUUGACCUCUGCACAGUGUCCAUCUGAAAAAUUGGAAUAAUAAUAUCUACCUCAUUGGGUAGAUAAUGAGUAUCUACCUCAUUGGGGUUGUUAUGAGGAAUAACUGAGCAGACUCAUCUGUGUAAAUCUCUUGAACAGUGGCUUGUACAUAGGGAGCAUAUAGUAAGUGUCAGCUGUCCUUGUGCCUCCACAUUAAACACUAUGGUUUAUACCUAAUUGGUGCUUAUUAAAUAUUUUGUUGAGUAAUUGUAAUGUUCAGAGGUAGACAAAUGAUUUGUUCAUUUCUUACCAUAAAAUGAAAAUAAUAUUUGUUUGCAAUAAAGCAUUGUAGGCAUAAGACAUUCCCUCCCUGGUGGGGGCCUGGCUAGUAGGAUGUUCCAAAUUCAGUAUCAAUAACCAUGGGCCUAUGAUUUAUUAAUCAGACCUGUCAUACCCGGCCAGUCAGAAAUCUAUGUUUACUGGCUCCCAAGGUAACUCUGCAAGGGAAAAACAGCUCAGUGAGGUGAUUUAUUUCCAGUAAGCAUUGUUACGGGAACAUUUUGAACUCUAGCAUGUGGGAUGGCUAUGUUAAUGAGGCUCUGCCCUUUCCUUAUGGAUCGCUCUGCCUUCUAACUUGUGUUUGCUUCUAAGGAUGAAGAUCACAGCUGUCACAGAAGGGAGGGACAGGGGCUGUGAUCCUAAAGACAAGAGUUUUUAACCCAGAACCUGGAGAUUACAAUUUGGAAAAGAUGGUUUUUAAAAAGUGAU
Equus caballus (horse) is the source of this 6126-nucleotide long non-coding RNA. RefSeq lists it as uncharacterized. Lineage: Eukaryota; Metazoa; Chordata; Mammalia; Perissodactyla; Equidae. The record is from RefSeq and is a predicted model, not a curated record.